RNAcentral lists this long non-coding RNA (390 nucleotides) under Rattus norvegicus (Norway rat). Its description in RNAcentral is "long non-coding RNA NONRATT030596". The record is from RNAcentral. Lineage: Eukaryota; Metazoa; Chordata; Mammalia; Rodentia; Muridae.
GGCAGAGUAGGAGGGAAGGGACUGCGGCAGGAUCUGUCGAGGAAAAAUCUUGCAGACAGCGAUCCCUCGCCUUUUAAGCUCAGCCACGCGCGCCCCCCGCAGGGGCGGGCCUUCGGGAACUGAGGGAGCCCACUGGCUCCCGCGGCUGCGCUCUCACUCACUCUCUCCUUCCCUAGCUGCAGCUAACUCGGGUCGGGAAAAUGCGACAGCGACUGCCCACUCGAGGUCGUCAUGGCGACAGCCAGUGAACGUGUUCCUCUCCUCGGGCAGGCCCCCGAGUGUAGAGGAACUGCUUCGCGAGGCGCAGCUCAAUCUCCAGAGCCUGUUGCAAGGGCAGCAGUUUGAUAGACAUGCAAGUUUUCGACACUCGUUGUUUAACACAGAGACAGC